This is a long non-coding RNA of Folsomia candida, 1068 nucleotides long. RefSeq lists it as uncharacterized. The record is from RefSeq and is a predicted model, not a curated record. Lineage: Eukaryota; Metazoa; Arthropoda; Collembola; Entomobryomorpha; Isotomidae. The transcript has 3 exons.
UCAAAAAUAAAUAUCAAUCCGUCUUGGUCUUCUCUGGCCCUUGGCAAUGGAUUGGUUUGAUAGUGCUUGGUGGUAUAACAUAAGGAUGUCGAUGUCACUGUCAAAUUGGGGUAUUAUUAAUCUGCCAUCAGUCAAAGACUCGAGCAGGAGAUCUUUCCUAUCGGCCACAAACAACCUUUGGUUUAGUUGUGUUUUUAAGUCUCCUCGUAUUUUUAUUUCAUCCCAUCCAGGAUAAUUGACGAGAUGAAUGACAAAGGCGAUACAAGCGUUGCUUUGCUACCAUUACAUAUAUUCUAGAUCAGAAUCAGUUAAUUUAAAAUUCUGGAUGAUGAUGGUCCUUCCGAUAUCUGGCUGAUAAGCGAGUGUUGUGUUUGCGUUACAUUUCUAUUUGAUUCUACAGGGAAUGGUGUCGUGUUGGGGAAAAUAAGGCAGUGGGGCAUCCCAUAAUAAUAUCCGUCCUGAAUAUUACGUCGACCAGGUUUCACCUGGCCAGGAUUUUCCAGGGCAUAAGACAAGACAGAUACGACAAGCACAUCACCACCAAUGGCACUAUUUUAGAUGGACAUACAGAACUUGUUGAACUUUUACGUAAAACUCGCUUUCUUUCAUCUGAAACAAAUUGCUGACCAGGGAGUUCCAAAAAACUAACAACUUUAUUACGAGUCUUGUUCUAGAGAAACUUGAAUUUUGAAAAUGUGUUUAAAAAUUCAAUUACUGUGACUGAGUUUUAUACUACAUGACUCGUUGUGUAUAUAACCACACAAUAUUCCAGUGUGUAUGUAACAAUGGUGGUGUAUAGCAAAAAAAGAACUCUGAAAGUUUCCGCCUUGGCUGCAGCCCUAAUAAAAAAGUCAGUUUAGUUUGAACAUUAAAUGAACAGGAAAAAGAUUGAUGAGCUAUAACUUUUAUACAUUUAUAACCUCAAAAAUAAAGAACAAGAACCGAAUUCGAAGAACCUCUGAAUAAUAUGUUUUUCUCUUUCUGUUUAUUUAGGCCUCUCUUUUCUCCUAACCUACAUACACACAAUAAUAAUAACACAUGCACACCCAAGAACGCCAGGAAUUUAAU